AUGUGGUGGGCCUUGGAGAAACACAAAGUCCCAGCAAAGUACAUUACCCUCAUCAAGGACAUGUACAAUAAUGUUGUGACAAGUGUUCGAACAAGUGAUGUCGACACCGAUGACUUCCCGAUUAAGAUAGGACUGCAUCAGGGGUCAGCUUUGAGCCCUUAUCUUUUUGCAUUGGUGAUGGAUGAGGUCACAAGGGAUAUACAAGGAGAUAUCCCAUGGUGUAUGCUCUUUGCGGAUGAUGUGGUGCUAGUUGACGAUAGUCGGACGGGGGUAAAUAGGAAGUUAGAGUUAUGGAGACAAACCUUGGAAUCGAAAGGGUUUAGGCUUAGUAGAACUAAAACCGAGUACAUGAUGUGCGGUUUCAGUACUACUAGGUGUGAGGAGGAGGAGGUUAGCCUUGAUGGCCAGGUGGUACCUCGGAAGGACACCUUUCGGUAUUUGGGGUCAAUGUUGCAGGAGGAUGGGGGUAUUGAUGAAGAUGUGAACCAUCGAAUCAAAGCCGGAUGGAUGAAGUGGCGCCAAGCUUCUGGCAUUCUCUGUGACAAGAGACUGCCACAAAAGCUAAAAGGCAAGUUCUACAGGACGGCGGUUCGACCCGCAAUGUUGUAUGGCGCGGAGUGUUGGCCGACUAAAAGGCGACAUGUUCAACAGUUAGGUGUGGCGGAGAUGCGUAUGUUGAGAUGGAUGUGUGGCCACACGAGGAAGGAUCGAGUCCGGAAUGAUGAUAUACGAGAUAGAGUUGGGGUAGCACCAAUUGAGGAGAAGCUUGUCCAACAUCGUCUGAGAUGGUUUGGGCAUAUUCAGCGCAGGCCUCCAGAAGCUCCAGUGUAUAGCGGACGGCUAAAGCGUGCGGAGAAUGUCAAGAGAGGGCGGGGUAGACCGAAUUUGACAUGGGAGGAGUCCGUUAAGAGAGACCUGAAGGAUUGGAGUAUCACCAAAGAGCUAGCUAUGGACAGGGGUGCGUGGAAGCUUGCUAUCCAUGUGCCCGAGCCAUGA
This 996-nucleotide ribosomal RNA is filed under the name Triticum aestivum (bread wheat). Its description in RNAcentral is "partial small subunit ribosomal RNA". Lineage: Eukaryota; Viridiplantae; Streptophyta; Magnoliopsida; Poales; Poaceae. The record is from RNAcentral.